This is a long non-coding RNA of Leopardus geoffroyi (Geoffroy's cat), 1077 nucleotides long. RefSeq lists it as uncharacterized. The record is from RefSeq and is a predicted model, not a curated record. The transcript has 3 exons. Lineage: Eukaryota; Metazoa; Chordata; Mammalia; Carnivora; Felidae.
CAGGACGGCUCAAGAACAAUCUAGAAAGUUCUUUCGGUGUCCGGAGGCACCUCACGUAGGUUCCCGAAGCGUGAGGGGCCAGCGGCGCUUCCCCGACGACACCAGGCGGGGAGGGGGGGGGUGGGAAGCAAGGGCGGCCCCGCCUCCGCCCGCGUAGGUGCCCCCCCCCCCCCGCGCCGGAUCUGUCGAGUCAUCCGUCCUGUCAACGCGCCCGCGCGGGGGAUAGGCGGCUGCCCCGGCGGGGGUGGGGGGGGGUGGGGGAGGGGCACGGGGGUUGUGGUGACACGCGAACACGCCGCGAUCCUCAACGUGGCCCCUCACGAAAACCCCUCUGUCCGCGGAGGGGGAGGGGCGCGUGAGGCCUGAGCCCCCUACGUCAGGGGCGGGUCUCGGCAGCGGCGGGGACCGUUGGGGCUGAGGAGACGGGGACGGGGGCGUCGGGGCCGAGCCCGCUCCGGGCGCCCGGGAGAAUCCACGCCGGGUUUUCGCACCUCCCGCGGCCCCGCCCCUCCCCGUAGGUCGAGCGCCGGCCACGUCCGCGGACGCCGCACUCAACACUCGCGCUGAUCCCUCCGCGAGGGCGCCGAGCACAGCGGCCCCCUCCUCCUCAGAUUCUCCCCUGCCGCCCGGUCUCCACGGGAAACCACUACGUGGGGGGGCCUUCGAUGAUCUGGGGUACUGCCUUUUCUGUCCGGGGCGGGGUAGGAAGAGCGGAGAAAAGUAGUCCGUUCUCGGCGUUUCUGCGGAGGGAUCCAGCGGAGCAGUUCCACCGAGUGCUAUAUAAGGAGGUGCCGGGUGUGGCGUAGGCAGUUCCGUGGAGGCCGGGAGUUCCGUUGCUGCUCUUCGGUGUGAGUCGUCGCCACAGCCGCUUGAAAUUCCAAGGAACAUGAAACGUGCCAACAGGAAGACAGCAAAAGUGCUGACCUUCCCCCAGAUUCUUCUUCAAUCAGAAACCGACCAUCACACCCCUCGCAUGCUGUGGGCCCUGGUGUGAGGACAGGCAUACUGGUGAAGGAGACAGACAGAAUCAGGCCGGACAAUAUCUGGGUGUCGCGGAAAUAAAACAGGACGACGUGA